UAUAGCUCAGUUGGUAGAGCAUGAGAAUCUUAAUCUCUGGGUCAUGGUUUUGAGACCAUGAGUAAAAG
Molecule: non-coding RNA, 68 nt
Organism: Podarcis lilfordi (Lilford's wall lizard)
Lineage: Eukaryota; Metazoa; Chordata; Lepidosauria; Squamata; Lacertidae
Source: the annotation of a GenBank genome assembly